Molecule: long non-coding RNA, 1688 nt
Organism: Clupea harengus (Atlantic herring)
Lineage: Eukaryota; Metazoa; Chordata; Actinopteri; Clupeiformes; Clupeidae
Source: Ensembl
UGUAAGUGUAACCAAACCUUAAAGAAAAGAUCUUGGUUUAAGCAUAUGCCAAAUUCCUUCAGUCACAUGGGGUUUUGUCAUUCUGUGUGAAUCCCAUCCGUUACAAUUCUUCAAUUCUCAACUCAGAGAUAUGUUCAGUGCUGCUGUAUGACUGGCACUUGACUCUGACUUUGUGUGAAAUGCAAUUCCAUCCAUGGUGAAUAGGAAGGGAAAAACCCCGGCACAAACCUCCCAAUUGACUGUGUGCGCUUUCAUUGUCUCCCAUGUUCUCUCUGGCAACUCACGCCAGGCUAUUCAUUCCGCUCCUCAGCUGUGGCACUCCUGUGUCAACAAACAAAUGGCUUCCUCCCUCUGGUGGAUUUGCAUGUAAUUACAGAAGCAAUCAGGCGUCUGUUUAGGGAGAUCAGUGGGGAAAUGAGAGGAUGGGACAUUUAUCAUUCUCUCGCUGUUUAGUGUCCUUUCGUCUUCAAUUGCAACAGCUGUUCUCCCUUUGUCUGUCCUCCCUGCCUCAUAUCUCUGCUGAUACUGAGUGUUUUUUUUGUUGUUGUUUGUUUUUUCUGUCUAGGGGUUUUGGGGUUUUACAUCAUAAAUGUUUCCAUGUGCAAUCUUCAAUCCAGGACCAUUUCAACAGUUUAUUUUCAUAUUCAGUAGCAGAGGCUGUAUCAGUGCAGUGUCUGAUGUUGACAACUGGCUAUAUUUGGACACGGGCAGGCAGGCAGGCAGAGAGACAGGUUGACAUGCAGGUAGACAGGUAGACGAGCAGGCAGGUGAGCUCGCGGGCCUGAAGGCUGGUGUAAAAGCAGGUAUUCCCCCGCGUCUAAAGGCGGGGCGUGGAGCCCGUGCUGUGGCUGCCUCCUCUAACAUCUGCUCUCUGUUUGUGUCUCACAGGCCGGUCCCUCUUCUCCGCAUGUGCCCAGAACAGUAUGAGUGAGUGUUACUCUAUGCUACACAUGUGCCCAGAACAGUAUGAGUGAGUGUUACGCUAUGCUACACAUGUGCCCAGAACAGUAUGAGUGAGUGUUACUCUAUGCUACACAUGUGCCCAGAACAGUAUGAGAUGGCUCCGAUAGCAGGCUGGGAGCGAGCCGUGUCUGUGGAAUCUGCCUCAGCCGCAGGAGGAGGGUUUCCGGAGCACGAGUUUAUCCUACCAGAGGCACACAGUGCCAGCACAUCUUGCAGUCCCCUCCACGUCCAGCAAGGGGACACCCACAAACACAGCCACACCUCCAGCCCAGUCCAAGGUCAAGCCAUAAAGAGGAGCGAGAUGCCUGAGGAACCUGAUGGUCUCAUAUCUGCCCUAGAAGAGGAGAGCUGUUAAUACUACCGCACUCUCCUCACGCGCCAGAAUAACAAUUUGAAGACGAGAGAGGAACGGCUCAGCCACGUUCUAGAGCGCUCAUAAACACAAAUCAUUCAGUUGCCAUUUCGGAUGGAUUUAUUGAACUGACAGUCAGCAAGGUCAAACAGGACAAGUGACUCUGAGAUUUAAAGAGUGAAUUAAAGUUAACAUUAACUACUCAAACCCAGACUGUUGUGGUGUGUUUUGGAGUUACGUUUAACGUGUUUCAUAAUGAGUAUUGGAAUUCAACUGAAAUUCUCUGUUACUACCCAAUAAAGAAGUACCCACCUAGCAACCGUCUAGCCCCUGCACAUGACUUCGCUGGAGCUUGAGGGGAGUUUAAAGUAUC